CUUGCUCAUAGCCACAGAUAUAGAAAGACGGAGACAGGACAGCAGGGGCCGUAACUGAGGCAGAACCACAGCACACAGACUUCUGCUGGCUGCUCCAGAUGGUGCCAACUCCGCAAGUGUCAUCCGCGCUCUUACAGAAUCCACUCUGGGAAGGGGCUGCUAGUGGGCCCCGAAAUGGUCACAGGGCCUUACUCCUACAAUGGGCUACGGUGGGACGUAC
This is a non-coding RNA of Pelobates cultripes (western spadefoot toad), 220 nucleotides long. The record is from the annotation of a GenBank genome assembly. Lineage: Eukaryota; Metazoa; Chordata; Amphibia; Anura; Pelobatidae.